AUGGAGGACGAGCCAUGGGGGGACCUUGGGGGUGACUCAAUUGUCUCCUUCCUCUCUCCCUCCCCAGGGCUGCGGGCGGCCGUGGAGCUGACGGAGUCCGGAGGGGGCACCGUGACACCCGGGGGGUCCCUCACCCUCCGCUGCAAGGCCUCCGGCUUCACCUUCAGCAGCUACAACAUGGUUUGGGUGCGACAGGCCCCUGGGAAGGGGCUGCAGUUGGUCGCAGUUAUUAGCAACACUGGUCGUACCACAGUUUACGCGCCGUCGGUGAAGGGUCGCUUCACCAUCUCCAGGGACAACUCCCAGAGCACGGUCACGCUGCAGAUGAACAGCCUCAAGGAGGACGACACGGCCACCUACUACUGCGGCAGAGAUGCUCGUGGUGGUGGUUGGGUUGAUGGUGGCCCCGACACCGUAUACCCUCACUGUGCUCCAUGA
Non-coding RNA from Calidris pugnax (ruff), 438 nucleotides. Lineage: Eukaryota; Metazoa; Chordata; Aves; Charadriiformes; Scolopacidae. The record is from the annotation of a RefSeq genome assembly.